Molecule: small RNA, 32 nt
Filed under: Bombyx mori (domestic silkworm)
Lineage: Eukaryota; Metazoa; Arthropoda; Insecta; Lepidoptera; Bombycidae
Description: ovarian small RNA-15029
Source: RNAcentral
GAAAAAUUCGGUCGACGUGGGCAUGACUCAGA